This 490-nucleotide ribosomal RNA is filed under the name uncultured bacterium. Its description in RNAcentral is "partial 16S ribosomal RNA". It matches the Rfam family "Bacterial small subunit ribosomal RNA", at positions 30 to 507 of the family's 1533-position model. The record is from RNAcentral.
AUUGAACGCUGGCGGCAGGCCUAACACAUGCAAGUCGAACGGUAACAGGAAGAAGCUUGCUUCUUUGCUGACGAGUGGCGGACGUGUGAGUAAUGUCUGGGAAACUGCCUGAUGGAGGGGGAUACCUACUGGAAACGGUAGCUAAUACCGCAUAACGUCGCAAGACCAAAGAGGGGGACCUUCGGGCCUCUUGCCAUCGGAUGUGCCCAGAUGGGAUUAGCUAGUAGGUGGGGUAACGGCUCACCUAGGCGACGAUCCCUAGCUGGUCUGAGAGGAUGACCAGCCACACUGGAACUGAGACACGGUCCAGACUCCUACGGGAGGCAGCAGUGGGGAAUAUUGCACAAUGGGCGCAAGCCUGAUGCAGCCAUGCCGCGUGUAUGAAGAAGGCCUUCGGGUUGUAAAGUACUUUCAGCGGGGAGGAAGGGAGUAAAGUUAAUACCUUUGCUCAUUGACGUUACCCGCAGAAGAAGCACCGGCUAACUCCGUG